Molecule: long non-coding RNA, 643 nt
Filed under: Callithrix jacchus (white-tufted-ear marmoset)
Lineage: Eukaryota; Metazoa; Chordata; Mammalia; Primates; Cebidae
Description: lncRNA (ENSCJAG00000076206.1)
Source: RNAcentral
UUGGUUAUCAGAAGACUAAGAAAAGUGGCUUCCACAAAGCUUCAGAGAGCCAGAAGCAAUAGUGUGGCUUUUGGAGCCACAAGUACACCAGGUCUUGCUCUGUCACCCAGGCUGGAGUGCAGUGGUGUGACCUCGGCUUACUGCAGCCUCGAACUCCCAGGCUCAAGCGAUCCUCUCACCUCAGCCUCCCCAGGAGCUGGGACUACAGAUACUACUGAUCUGUGGUUGGUUGAAUCUAUGGAUGUGGAACCCAUGGAUAUGGAAGGCCGACUGUGCUAUGAAUCUAGGAGGCAGAGCGUCCAGAGAUGCUGCAGAGGGUAUUUCUAUAUUGUGAGGGAGAUUGGAUUAAAUGUUAUUUAAGAAAAUGCUAUGAAUCAAAUAGCCUUCCUGGCUUUUAAAGGAUCAUAGAUGCAGCAUGAAUGAGGAAUGUUAGAAACAUUUAGCCCAGUCCCAGUUAAGAGAGCAAUCCUUUCUAGGGCUUUUUUCUUCUUUUUUUUGAGACAGAGUCUCGCUCUGUUGCCCAGGCUGGAGUGCAGUGGUGUGAUCUCAGCUCAAUGCAACCUCCCUCUGGGGCAUUAUUGACAUAUGAGCAGCUGGCUUACAUUUGAAUGCCCCAGGGCCAGAGGGCAAAGUAAUUUACCAG